Molecule: transfer RNA, 63 nt
Filed under: Daphnia laevis
Lineage: Eukaryota; Metazoa; Arthropoda; Branchiopoda; Diplostraca; Daphniidae
Description: tRNA-Gly
Source: RNAcentral
AUCUUUCUAAUAUAGUAAGUAUAUUUGACUUCCAAUCAAAAUGGCCAUUUUAUGGGAAAGAUA